AAAGCCUCUAAGCAUCAGGUAACAUCAAAUCGUACCCCAAACCGACACAGGUGGUCAGGUAGAGAAUACCAAGGCGCUUGAGAGAACUCGGGUGAAGGAACUAGGCAAAAUGGUGCCGUAACUUCGGGAGAAGGCACGCUGAUAUGUAGGUGAAGCGACUUGCUCGUGGAGCUGAAAUCAGUCGAAGAUACCAGCUGGCUGCAACUGUUUAUUAAAAACACAGCACUGUGCAAACACGAAAGUGGACGUAUACGGUGUGACGCCUGCCCGGUGCCGGAAGGUUAAUUGAUGGGGUUAGCGGUAACGCGAAGCUCUUGAUCGAAGCCCCGGUAAACGGCGGCCGUAACUAUAACGGUCCUAAGGUAGCGAAAUUCCUUGUCGGGUAAGUUCCGACCUGCACGAAUGGCGUAAUGAUGGCCAGGCUGUCUCCACCCGAGACUCAGUGAAAUUGAACUCGCUGUGAAGAUGCAGUGUACCCGCGGCAAGACGGAAAGACCCCGUGAACCUUUACUAUAGCUUGACACUGAACAUUGAGCCUUGAUGUGUAGGAUAGGUGGGAGGCUUUGAAGUGUGGACGCCAGUCUGCAUGGAGCCGACCUUGAAAUACCACCCUUUAAUGUUUGAUGUUCUAACGUUGGCCCGUAAUCCGGGUUGCGGACAGUGUCUGGUGGGUAGUUUGACUGGGGCGGUCUCCUCCUAAAGAGUAACGGAGGAGCACGAAGGUUGGCUAAUCCUGGUCGGACAUCAGGAGGUUAGUGCAAUGGCAUAAGCCAGCUUGACUGCGAGCGUGACGGCGCGAGCAGGUGCGAAAGCAGGUCAUAGUGAUCCGGUGGUUCUGAAUGGAAGGGCCAUCGCUCAACGGAUAAAAGGUACUCCGGGGAUAACAGGCUGAUACCGCCCAAGAGUUCAUAUCGACGGCGGUGUUUGGCACCUCGAUGUCGGCUCAUCACAUCCUGGGGCUGAAGUAGGUCCCAAGGGUAUGGCUGUUCGCCAUUUAAAGUGGUACGCGAGCUGGGUUUAGAACGUCGUGAGACAGUUCGGUCCCUAUCUGCCGUGGGCGCUGGAGAACUGAGGGGGGCUGCUCCUAGUACGAGAGGACCGGAGUGGACGCAUCACUGGUGUUCGGGUUGUCAUGCCAAUGGCACUGCCCGGUAGCUAAAUGCGGAAGAGAUAAGUGCUGAAAGCAUCUAAGCACGAAACUUGCCCCGAGAUGAGUUCUCCCUGAGACUUAGAGUCUCCUGAAGGAACGUUGAAGACGACGACGUUGAUAGGCCGGGUGUGUAAGCGCAGCGAUGCGUUGAGCUAACCGGUACUAAUGAACCGUGAGGCUUAACCUUACAACGCCGAAG
RNAcentral lists this ribosomal RNA (1349 nucleotides) under Escherichia coli. Its description in RNAcentral is "partial 23S ribosomal RNA". It matches the Rfam family "Bacterial large subunit ribosomal RNA", at positions 1614 to 2925 of the family's 2925-position model. Lineage: Bacteria; Pseudomonadati; Pseudomonadota; Gammaproteobacteria; Enterobacterales; Enterobacteriaceae. The record is from RNAcentral.